AAGGCUUUUGUUCUGUGAAUGCCAUCUUGGGUGUAAACUGCUCUGUGCCUAUACUGGUGUCUUUUUACCCCAUCUCCAGCUGGGAUUUCAAGAGGCACUGGCACAGGGCUCACAAUGCAGAACAAUCAAGUGUCAAGCUGGAGGGUCUCCCAUUCAGAUAGAAGCACCCUGGGACAACAACCUAGCUGCUGCCCAGGGAACCUGUUCAACCAGGUGGGAUAGUAAUCAAGCAAUGCAUCACGUAAUGAGGGAUUUGAAGCACUGAGGAUAGUCACCUGACAGGGGGCGGGGGAACCUCAUAAAAGGAAGGCUUUCUUAUUGGUGGUAUGAGAGAGAGGAGACCAGAAGCAGAAGGCAAGACUGAACAGGAGGAGCGAGCGUGAGCGUUUGUCCUGGGACCCUGAAAGGGUGGACUGAAACCAAGUAGUGGUGAGGAUGUUGGAUGUGACAUUCUUCCUGUGCUGUGUGAUCUAGAGAAGGGAUGUCAAACCUACAGCAUCAGAGGUGGCUGUAGCCCACAGGAUCGUUUUGUCCAGCUGGCUAUUCUCUGCAGUGAACAAGGCAACCCUGCCUGCAGUGACUUGGGAACUGGGUGAGUGGAGCUAAAGAUGGAGUUUGUUCCUGACUGGACAUAAUCACCUGGCCCUUUAAACCGCCUGCUGCCUGCUGGAGGAUGUUAUUACGCAUGGGGGCAUGCUGCCCCCAUAACCUGCCACAGCCAGGUUUGAGGGGUUAUUUCAUGGCAUACACACAGACACGCUGGAUUAAAAACAUCAAAUCCU
This is a long non-coding RNA of Dermochelys coriacea (leatherback sea turtle), 782 nucleotides long. RefSeq lists it as uncharacterized. The record is from RefSeq and is a predicted model, not a curated record. The transcript has 2 exons. NCBI's taxonomy places the organism in Eukaryota, Metazoa, Chordata, Testudines, Dermochelyidae.